Molecule: ribosomal RNA, 385 nt
Filed under: uncultured bacterium
Lineage: Bacteria
Description: bacterial SSU rRNA
Rfam family: Bacterial small subunit ribosomal RNA
Source: RNAcentral
GAUGAACGCUAGCGGGAGGCCUAACACAUGCAAGCCGAGCGGUAUUGUUUCUUCGGAAAUGAGAGAGCGGCGUACGGGUGCGGAACACGUGUGCAACCUGCCUUUAUCUGGGGGAUAGCCUUUCGAAAGGAAGAUUAAUACUCCAUAAUAUAUUGAACGGCAUCGUUUGAUAUUGAAAGCUCCGGCGGAUAGAGAUGGGCACGCGCAAGAUUAGCUAGUUGGUGAGGUAACGGCUCACCAAGGCGAUGAUCUUUAGGGGCUCUGAGAGGAGUAACCCCCACACUGGCACUGAGAUACGGGCCAGACUCCUACGGAGGCAGCAGUAGGAUAUGGGCAAUGGAGGCAACUCUGACCCAGCCAUGCCGCGUGCAGGAAGACGGCCCUC